Long non-coding RNA from Equus quagga, 1250 nucleotides. RefSeq lists it as uncharacterized. The record is from RefSeq and is a predicted model, not a curated record. The transcript has 8 exons. NCBI's taxonomy places the organism in Eukaryota, Metazoa, Chordata, Mammalia, Perissodactyla, Equidae.
UGGAGCUUCCAGACUGGGAAGAAGAACCUGGCAAUUUCUGAAAAAAUUGGCCAUGAAAACCCGAUGAAUAGCAGCAAAGCAUUGGCUGAUACAGCACUGGAAGGUGAGAGGAUGGUGUAAAGAGACUGAGGAGGGCCCUGCUCUGCCGUACACAGGGUCACUAGAGUCAGAAUCGACUUGAAGGCACUAACAAGGACAGAGAUACAGCUAGGGGUGUGACGGAUAGGCUGGCCAGGAAUGAAAAGAACCAUGGUGUGAACAAGCCAAAGACGGCAGCAGCAGCAACAUCUCUGUACUGAACAUUUAUUCCUACCAGCUACUCCACUGGGCUUCAUGUACAUUCUAUCUUCUAAUUGUCACAACAAGAUGGAUUCUGAGAUUUGACAUGAAGAGUGUAUCUUAAAUGAAACAAUAAGCUAUUUGGUGAUGAAGCCUAUACGAUUAAGAAGCUGUAAGUAAUCCUCAAGUCAGUCUAGAGUUGGUUUUAAAACAUUUACCAGCACGUCAAUAGCAGAAACUCGGUUUGCUCAUUUUUCAAAUGAGGACAUAAUACAUUUUCUACUUCCAAGAUUUUUGUGAGGAUAAAGUGAGAUCAUGGAGCUCUCCAAUAAGCGUACCACAGCGUCACCCUCCUACGCUCCUCAAACUCCCUGUCCAAUAGUUUAAUCUCCAACCAUCAGAGUCACUCCUUGACCGCUGUCUCCAGAACCCCUUUGCACAAAGUCCCAUUUAAUACCUGGAGAGAAGAGACCUUGGAUAUCCUGUCUGGAGUGAUUGAUCCAUUGGCUCCACACACUUUUGAGAGGCCUUACAACCAAAAGCACACAGACUAACAUGAGAAGAUAUAAAAGAAAAUCAGGACCCAGAAGAACACCGAAACGUGAAUACGCCAACCAGAGGCUUGCUGGGCUGCUAAUCUGAUACCUCCUUCUGAACUCCUGAGUGAUGCGGAAAUGCAGUUGACCGCAGCCACCAAGAAGUUGCCUGCCCUUAUGGCUACGUGUCUUUUCAAUGACUUCAUAAACAACUUGGCAAAGAGUCUUGCCUGGACAUCCCCUCUGCUCUCAGUGACUCCAACUACCAUACCAGUUUUCGUUCAUUUCGUAUCCACAUUGUGCUCUUUAAAUAAAUAGUGACAAGAUGGAGAGGGGGGACUGAUCGGGAUGUUGGAGGUUGAGAAGUUUGGAAACACUAAUGAGGCAUCUUGGAGUUCUCAGGACAGAGGCUAUUGCCUUUCUAUAUCUACUGAA